This 547-nucleotide long non-coding RNA is filed under the name Heterocephalus glaber (naked mole-rat). RNAcentral's name for it is "lncRNA (ENSHGLG00100035776.1)". The record is from RNAcentral. Lineage: Eukaryota; Metazoa; Chordata; Mammalia; Rodentia; Bathyergidae.
CUCUGCUUCCUGAAUGCCACGAGGUGAACAACUUUGCCUUCACUCUGCCCCUCUGCCAUGCCACCCUGCCUUGGAGCCAGCAGCAUGUAGACUGAAACAUCUACAAACUGUGAGCCAGGAUAAACCUCUAUUCCUUUAAGUUGUAGAUUUUGGGUAUUGCCUCUCUGCAACAAGGAAAGAAAGAUAGGUCUGGAGUCCACUUGCCUUAGAGGAAAUUAUGCAUUAUUCGGGGGAGUUUUGCUCCCUGUCCUUCAUUAGCUUCCUGCUUCCCAAAUCCAGAGCUGAGAGUCUAUGGUGCCAGAGGACUCCGCAGUGCCAUUCUGUUUCCCUUCUCCUUCCCACUGUUGCCAAACAUGAUCGGAGACCUACUGGGCUAGAGAAAGAGCAGACAGUCACUCCGCACCGAGGCAGCCUCCACAUCCAGCACAGUGCUCUGGACAAGGUGCUGCCUCUUCUGGCUGGUGCUAGGAGUUUUACAAACGUUAUCUCAUUUCAUCUUAUGACACCCUUGUGAAGCCAGCAGCUUUUAUUGUACUUCUACAGCGAG